UGGAUUAGUGGCGAACGGGUGAGUAACACGUGAGUAACCUGCCCUCUUCUUUGGGAUAACGGUCGGAAACGGCUGCUAAUACUGGAUAUUCACUCAUUGGCGCAUGUUGGUGGGUGGAAAGGUUUUUUCUGGUGGGGGAUGGGCUCGCGGCCUAUCAGCUUGUUGGUGGGGUGAUGGCCUACCAAGGCUUUGACGGGUAACCGGCCUGAGAGGGUGACCGGUCACAUUGGGACUGAGAUACGGCCCAGACUCCUACGGGAGGCAGCAGUGGGGAAUUUUGCACAAUGGGCGCAAGCCUGAUGCAGCGACGCCGCGUGAGGGAUGAAGGCCUUCGGGUUGUAAACCUUUUUCGCUCAUGGUCAAGCCGCAGCUUGGGUUGUGGUGAGGGUAGUGGGUAAAGAAGCGCCGGCUAACUACGUGCCAGCAGCCGCGGUAAUACGUAGGGCGCGAGCGUUGUCCGGAAUUAUUGGGCGUAAAGGGCUUGUAGGCGGUUGGCCGCGUCUGCCGUGAAAUCCUCUGGCUUAACUGGGGGCGUGCGGUGGGUACGGGUUGACUUGAGUGCGGUAGGGGAGACUGGAAUUCCUGGUGUAGCGGUGGAAUGCGCAGAUAUCAGGAGGAACACCGGUGGCGAAGGCGGGUCUCUGGGCCGUUACUGACGCUGAGGAGCGAAAGCGUGGGGAGCGAACAGGAUUAGAUACCCUGGUAGUCCACGCUGUAAACGUUGGGCACUAGGUGUGGGGGCCACCCGUGGUUUCUGCGCCGUAGCUAACGCUUUAAGUGCCCCGCCUGGGGAGUACGGUCGCAAGGCUAAAACUC
RNAcentral lists this ribosomal RNA (816 nucleotides) under Schaalia turicensis. RNAcentral's name for it is "bacterial SSU rRNA". It matches the Rfam family "Bacterial small subunit ribosomal RNA", at positions 88 to 902 of the family's 1533-position model. Lineage: Bacteria; Bacillati; Actinomycetota; Actinomycetes; Actinomycetales; Actinomycetaceae. The record is from RNAcentral.